CCACUAGACCAUAUUGCUCAAAGCCAGGCCUUGAAGAUUCUCCAGCUUUCUUGAGUAUUAUUAGAAGAGGCUUCUAAACGCUCUACUGCUGCUGUUGCAUGUUGUGUAGGGUUGCGAAAUCAGCUAGGUGAACAGUUAGCUUCUUAGAGGGUCCACGGAUAAGGAAAUCGUGUGUCCCAGUAGUCGAAAGGUGGAAGAAAACAACUAAAUGAGAUUACAUUCAUUGUUAAUUAAGAUUAAAUUACCUUUAGUAAUACUUUCCAUUACCAUUCAUUCUAUAAUUUGGCAAACUUUAGUAGUCUAGUAACUUAUUUUAAUAAUGCCUGACAGUGUGUUUACUCCAGGCAACAAUAUGACUUCUUACUGACUGCGUUUGAGAGAGUUGUUUGUCAUAGCUUUUUGUUGCUCUAAAAACUCGUAUGAUCAGAAUGAGCUAAGAUGACAAUAAAACACACUGAAAGGCAUGUAACUCUUGUCAUUUUUGUUUGAAAAAACUUGUUUCAUGAACCCAGAUUAACCUGCAUUUAGAAAAAAAAUUUAUUAGGUAUUAACUUUGUAUGAUUUCACAUAUACCUGUGUAUCUAAAUCAGCACUAGAAGUAAUCAUCCAAAACUGGUCUCUAAUUUGGAGCCAGGAAAAUAGAUUUCUGCAAUUUAGGCCAAAUAAAUACUCCUGGCUGUAAACCAGGCAGCUUCAAAGCUGUACAGAGCUGUAUGAUGGUGACCAUACUGCACACGCAUAGAAGGCUUAAACUGCAGGGGACCUGGGGAGAGACAGAAUCUCUUUCUGUGACUUUAAAUAUGGAUACUGCUCCAAACAUAGUAUCAAAGCAACUCAUUUCUGGAUUUCAAAGGUGCCAUUCCGAGAUGAGGGAAAUUUCUAAGGAGUCUUUGGGUUUGACUCUGGGGUGUAUACAUGUUCAAAAUAUGCAAAGAAUCAUCUGUUAACUAACUGUAUUAAGCGAUUAUAUUCUAGUUGUUAAUAUUUAUGGGGCUUUGUUAUAAAAAUGUUUAUAUGGUAUUUCACACAUUUCUAAUUCAUCCAAGGAUGUUCUAGUUACCAGAUUAAUUCUUAAUAAUCUGAUAUGUUUAGCUGUAACUAGGAACACCAGUGAAACAACCCAAGGAAAUUUUUAGUUCUAAGAAUUAUGCAAACUAGUGAAAUUGUAUUGCAAAAGCCUUUCCUGUUCAGAGCAUUUUAUCACUGAAGUUCAUGCAAACAGGCCUCUUCCUAUUUGUUGCUUGCUGUUCAUACUUGAAAGUUAUUUCUUAUACAGGUCUUCAUUUUGUCCUAGAUGCAGGUUAUUGACGGAUACUUUCUAGUUUGGGAUGGUUUUUAUUUUCCUCGUUAUAUGACAUUUAUGGGAUGUUCAUGAUGUGCUAGCUGCAUGGUUGCUCAACAGUGCUACUUUAGCAGCAAAGUAAAUAACACAAUUCUCAGUAGCUGCUGGCAAUACAAGUUCAGCAGCCCUAAAUUGUACCUAAGAGUUAAAAAGUGAGUGUAGGCAGAUGUGUUAUCUAUGAUGGAGCUGCUCAACACUUGCCUUUUGUCAGAGUAGCUGCAAACAGGAUCUUUAAACUGUGACAAACUUCUGUUGUUUCAGAAUGACUGCUUUAGGCAGGUGUUCGCCUCAGGAUGAGUUCUUUAUUUUUCAAAAUACUGUCUUUGAGGAGACUGAUACCUCAGCUUACACUAAGAGAUGAGGAAAAUACUGUUUUCCCAUGUUAGAAGCCAUUUUGCUUUCAUUUCUUUCCGUUUCUCAAGCAAAAGAGACAUAAGAAACCAAGAAAACUGUGACAUUUGACCAUGGUAUAAAUGCUGUGAGAAAGAAGGGGAAAGUAUAGCUUCAGGCAAACAUACUUAGUAAAGCUUCCUCCUUAAGGAAGUCAUCCUGCUUAAACAGGCUGAACUGUGUCAUUUUCAAAGAGUAAUGAAUAAGUUCAGGUAUGGCUCUGUCAGAAGAGGUGUUAGGGAAAAUAACCUUUUCUUGCACUCUGUCUUUGCUCUGAGACCUAGACUGAGAAUUUAAAUGUUUACUGGCAGAUGAUUUAGGUGCUAAAGUAGCCUGAAAUAGCAGAUGCACAGUUGCAGGAUUUGACAUAAAUUGACAUAGUAGAUUACAGCCAUCAAGUGUGGCUG
Molecule: long non-coding RNA, 2139 nt
Organism: Pezoporus flaviventris
Lineage: Eukaryota; Metazoa; Chordata; Aves; Psittaciformes; Psittacidae
Exons: 3
Source: RefSeq, a predicted model, not a curated record